CGAGCGAACAGACGAGGAGCUUGCUCCUUUGACGUUAGCGGCGGACGGGUGAGUAACACGUGGGUAACCUACCUAUAAGACUGGGAUAACUUCGGGAAACCGGAGCUAAUACCGGAUAAUAUUUCGAACCGCAUGGUUCGAUAGUGAAAGAUGGCUUUGCUAUCACUUAUAGAUGGACCUGCGCCGUAUUAGCUAGUUGGUAAGGUAACGGCUUACCAAGGCAACGAUACGUAGCCGACCUGAGAGGGUGAUCGGCCACACUGGAACUGAGACACGGUCCAGACUCCUACGGGAGGCAGCAGUAGGGAAUCUUCCGCAAUGGGCGAAAGCCUGACGGAGCAACGCCGCGUGAGUGAUGAAGGUCUUCGGAUCGUAAAACUCUGUUAUUAGGGAAGAACAAACGUGUAAGUAACUGUGCACGUCUUGACGGUACCUAAUCAGAAAGCCACGGCUAACUACGUGCCAGCAGCCGCGGUAAUACGUAGGUGGCAAGCGUUAUCCGGAAUUAUUGGGCGUAAAGCGCGCGUAGGCGGUUUUUUAAGUCUGAUGUGAAAGCCCACGGCUCAACCGUGGAGGGUCAUUGGAAACUGGAAAACUUGAGUGCAGAAGAGGAAAGUGGAAUUCCAUGUGUGGCGGUGAAAUGCGCAGAGAUAUGGAGGAACACCAGUGGCGAAGGCGACUUUCUGGUCUGUAACUGACGCUGAUGUGCGAAAGCGUGGGGAUCAAACAGGAUUAGAUACCCUGGUAGUCCACGCCGUAAACGAUGAGUGCUAA
This 774-nucleotide ribosomal RNA is filed under the name uncultured bacterium. Its description in RNAcentral is "bacterial SSU rRNA". It matches the Rfam family "Bacterial small subunit ribosomal RNA", at positions 63 to 819 of the family's 1533-position model. The record is from RNAcentral.